AGGGAAUAGUUUAUUAAAAUUUUAAUUUUGGAGAUUAAAGAUAAGGUAAUAGAUCCUUUUCUCUGA
Molecule: transfer RNA, 66 nt
Filed under: Callosobruchus maculatus (cowpea weevil)
Lineage: Eukaryota; Metazoa; Arthropoda; Insecta; Coleoptera; Chrysomelidae
Description: tRNA-Pro
Source: RNAcentral